UAGCCUGCUGGCCAUAGUCUACAGACCCAUGCUAUAAUACACGAGUAACUGGUGUGAGUAACUACACACAGACAGAAAAGCACCCAGUGAACAGUGCCUUCAUUUCUCGAAUUUCCUGCUUUCUGUCAACAUGCAUCACACAGUUACAUGCUCUUCCUGUGGUUGCAAUCAGUUUAUCUUUGCAUUCUGCUGUUUUAAAAUUUAACGCCCAUUUCUGUGGAUUGGCAUAGCCCACAUUCUUGUGAAUCACCCACAGUGAUUCCUGCAGUGUUGUCCCCAGCCUCAAGCCUCUCUGCACCGUAAUUGUGCUUCUUUUCCUCAGAUACCUGCCUUGCAUUGGCCCUGGGUAAAUGUUUCCCUUGGCUGUGAAUAGGCAAUUAAAAUUCUGAACCUUUUAUGGCUCUGGAAGCUUAUCCGAUGAAACAAUACUCAUCCAGGCGGAUGGCCCACCAGCGCAAAGGGCUGAGGCCGCUGUAAGCCAAGGUACGCAACGCUUGCUAAACAGGAAUCCCUGGAAUGAAUCCAUGCAUGAGGCCUUUGUGCCAUGUGACAGUUGAAGGCUGUGGUGACCCCGGAACCGUCCCACUCCGAGACGCCUUAACACCGUUUUUCUGCUGUUACAAACCACAGAGCAACGCGUGUGCCUCCUCCCGCCCUGGGGACUCUUUCUGUGGGAGAGGUGCCUGGAUUUAGAGGAGCGACCACUCUUCAUUUGUAGGUACUCUCCCUAGCCUGGGAGCCCUUCAGCUCCCACUCCAGAGUGGUUGUUGGUGGUAAUACGCCAGGCCUGGGGAAGCAGGAGUGGGAAGGUGUGAGAGGUGGGGGAGUGUGGUUGUCAACUGUUCUGAUUUUCCACCAGGAUCUUGGUCACUUUCCCAGUUGUCACUCGGCCCACAAACUAGGAUGUGAGCAGCAUAUUAAGAAUCUGCAGAGAUGUUCCCGUCUGCCCGGCAUAUGGAUGUCCUUCUGGGCUGCAAAGUGGCAUCCUGUGGGCAACUCCCCCCACAACAACCAGCUGUUCUUUGUUCUGCGGGUGAGUCACCCAGGUCCUGCCCUCCGUGCCUGUCUGCCCUCUCCCACUUUCCCUGCCCUGAGCUUGUUCCCACUUGUAGAUUUGGCAGGUCACUGCCAAGGCCCCUAUUCCCCCAACAUGGCCAGUGCCCUAAGGGUGGGUUGUACAGGGAGGAGCUGGCGUGGUCAGUAGACUUGAAUCAGGGACAACUCGGCUGCUGAAGGCUGAGGGGGCCUUGCAGGGCUGCAGGUGCCUUGUGCACACAGGGAGUGGGUAGAGAAGGCAACCAGGGGCUCCUUCAGGCCUUAAUGCUCUGCAGCCCAGUGAGGCUGUGCCCAGAGAGUCUGGCGAGGCCCUGGUCUGCUCCCCCAGCCAAUGGCCUGAUGCUGUUCCAUCUGGGCACCCUGUCACUUUUCGUUCAUCAGGGAGUACAGGGUGAUUCAGGGUCUCAAAUGCAGGUGUUCACAAAAUGAAAUAGAACUUCCCUCUAUCCCCGUGCUUCUUUUUAUUUUUAUAACAAAUAUACAUCGUUAUAUUUUAUUUUUAUAUUUAUGUAUUUUAUAUAUAUGUG
Molecule: long non-coding RNA, 1583 nt
Filed under: Homo sapiens (human)
Lineage: Eukaryota; Metazoa; Chordata; Mammalia; Primates; Hominidae
Description: HSALNT0363048
Source: RNAcentral